GAUGAAGAACGUAGCGAAAUGCGAUAAGUAAUGUGAAUUGCAGAAUUCAGUGAAUCAUCGAAUCUUUGAACGCACAUUGCGCCCGCGAGUAUUCUCGCGGGCAUGCCUGUCCGAGCGUCAUUUCAACCCUCAGGGCCCGCCUGCUUCGGCAGGCGCGGCGCUGGUGUUGGGGAUCGGCCUAACCGCCGUCCCCCAAAUACAGUGGCGGUCUCGCUGCAGCCUCCCCUGCGUAGUAGCAACACUCGCAUGCGGAGCGCGGCGCGGCCACGCCGUAAAACCCCCGACUUUCUGAACGUUGACCUCGGAUCAGGUAGGAAUACCCGCUGAACUUAAGCAUACAAUAAGCGGAGGA
This 352-nucleotide unclassified non-coding RNA is filed under the name soil metagenome. RNAcentral describes it as "partial contains 5.8S ribosomal RNA, internal transcribed spacer 2, and large subunit ribosomal RNA". The stretch from base 1 to 120 matches the Rfam family "5.8S ribosomal RNA", at positions 35 to 154 of the family's 154-position model. The record is from RNAcentral.